This 480-nucleotide ribosomal RNA is filed under the name uncultured bacterium. RNAcentral describes it as "partial 16S ribosomal RNA". It matches the Rfam family "Bacterial small subunit ribosomal RNA", at positions 28 to 523 of the family's 1533-position model. The record is from RNAcentral.
GACGAACGCUGGCGGCGUGCCUAACACAUGCAAGUCGAGCGAAUGAAAUUCCUUCGGGAACGGAUUUAGCGGCAGACGGGUAAGUAACACGUGGGCAACCUGCCUCAUAGAGGGGAAUAGCCUUCCGAAAGGGAGAUUAAUACCGCAUAAGAUUGUAGUACCGCAUGGUACAGCAAUUAAAGGAGCAAUCCGCUAUGAGAUGGGCCCGCGGCGCAUUAGCUAGUUGGUGAGGUAACGGCUCACCAAGGCGACGAUGCGUAGCCGACCUGAGAGGGUGAUCGGCCACAUUGGGACUGAGACACGGCCCAGACUCCUACGGGAGGCAGCAGUGGGGAAUAUUGCACAAUGGGGGAAACCCUGAUGCAGCAACGCCGCGUGAGUGAUGACGGCCUUCGGGUUGUAAAGCUCUGUCUUCAGGGACGAUAAUGACGGUACCUGAGGAGGAAGCCACGGCUAACUACGUGCCAGCAGCCGCAGUAA